Long non-coding RNA from Vespa mandarinia (Asian giant hornet), 581 nucleotides. The record is from RefSeq and is a predicted model, not a curated record. NCBI's taxonomy places the organism in Eukaryota, Metazoa, Arthropoda, Insecta, Hymenoptera, Vespidae.
GUAACGUCGAACGAGAAACAUCGUUUCGUACUUAUUCCUAAAUAUACGACUGACGUACAGCACGUAAUCCUCACAGGAGAAACAAUUGGUUAAAGGGAGAAAGGAAAAAAAAAUGGUAAUUACCCCUCUGGCUGUGGACACGAAGGAAGGCAUAAACGAUGUUAAAAAGAGUAGAGAUACAACAACGAUUGAUAUUAUCUGUCUCAUAUAUUUUUUAACAUAAUCGGUUACCUACAUAUUUACAUAAAGAAAACCAUCAUCGUUUUCGAAGUUGCACGCGUACUACAUAAUAUUAUCACACAGGCGACAACAACGCGGUCGAGCGACUACAGGACAGGUGGAGCAGGGGACGUACGGAUGGGAAGGAGGAUGAGAAGGAGGAAGGGAUAGACGAGGGUAGAAGAGGCUGAGAAGGGUAACCAGAAUCUCUCUCUUUUCCUCUUUCUCUCCCUCUCCAUCACUCGUGGUUAUAUAUCAGGAGCGUCGCGUUAUUGGCCCCUGAGGCGCCACCGCGCUUUGUUGGAUUGCUCACGACGCGCUGGAUAAACCGAGGACGAAGAACCGUUGACUUUUAUAGGAUA